AACAGUAUAGCUUAGCUGGCAGAGCACUUGCCUAUCAUGCAAAGAGUCCUAAGUUUGAUCCCUAGCACUGUAU
This 73-nucleotide transfer RNA is filed under the name Mus musculus (house mouse). It matches the Rfam family "tRNA". Rfam says of the family: Transfer RNA (tRNA) molecules are approximately 80 nucleotides in length. Their secondary structure includes four short double-helical elements and three loops (D, anti-codon, and T loops). Further hydrogen bonds mediate the characteristic L-shaped molecular structure. tRNAs have two regions of fundamental functional importance: the anti-codon, which is responsible for specific mRNA codon recognition, and the 3' end, to which the tRNAs corresponding amino acid is attached (by aminoacyl-tRNA synthetases). tRNAs cope with the degeneracy of the genetic code in two manners: having more than one tRNA (with a specific anti-codon) for a particular amino acid; and 'wobble' base-pairing, i.e. permitting non-standard base-pairing at the 3rd anti-codon position. The record is from Rfam by way of RNAcentral. Lineage: Eukaryota; Metazoa; Chordata; Mammalia; Rodentia; Muridae.